CGGGCCGGGAGCGGCGCGGCUGCACCUCAGGUUGGGAGUGUGGCGGUGCUGGCACGGCCUGGGCUGAGCGAGGGCUCGGUCCCCCUGAGUGGGACCCCAGUGCUGGGGCCUGAGCACCUCCUGUUCCAGGGCAGAGACGGGACGGGGCCUGACAGUCAGUGAAUGUCACCGAAAACAGGGAUAAAGCCCCAGGAACUGCUGGGCCCUGCUGAGAUGGCAAAGCUAGGGCGUGGGUGGGGGAUGGAUGACACGUACAAGCAUGUUCGUGCUGCGAGCAGAGGAGCCUGCCCUGGACACAUCGCCUUCAGGAGAUGUCAGGGAUGAUUGUUCUGUGCUUGGAGCACUGUCCAGUGUGGUGGGAGUUGUAGAAGGGCUGGAACUGCAGAAAGCUGAGAUAAAAGCCCUACCCCUUC
This 413-nucleotide long non-coding RNA is filed under the name Serinus canaria (Common canary). Its description in RNAcentral is "lncRNA (ENSSCAG00000006690.1)". The record is from RNAcentral. Lineage: Eukaryota; Metazoa; Chordata; Aves; Passeriformes; Fringillidae.